GGGGUGUAUAAUUAAAAGGGAAUCAGGUGUAAAUCCUGAACAGUCCCGCUGCUGUAAGCUCAAAUACACAUUUUAGGCAUCACUCAUUGCCACUGUUUUUUGAAACGGGAAGGUCGACCUAAAAUUGGAGCAAGUCAGAAGACCUGCCAAUACAUUU
Molecule: non-coding RNA, 157 nt
Filed under: uncultured Odoribacter sp.
Lineage: Bacteria; Pseudomonadati; Bacteroidota; Bacteroidia; Bacteroidales; Odoribacteraceae
Source: RNAcentral